Molecule: unclassified non-coding RNA, 484 nt
Filed under: Hevea brasiliensis (rubber tree)
Lineage: Eukaryota; Viridiplantae; Streptophyta; Magnoliopsida; Malpighiales; Euphorbiaceae
Source: RNAcentral
GAAAAUCGUCUCAAAGUGGGUAAAAAAGAUGUCCUCCAUAAGACAAGGCAAAAAAGUUACAAUGUCUGUUUUCUUCGUUUCCCAAAUGAGGUAUUAUAAAGUAGAUCUCCAUUCCAUGCAUUUCAUGUUAGUGUAACUAAAGAACAUCAUGCAUCUUUUUUCUUGGUAUAAACAUAUGUAGUGUUAAUUGCAAUAUUAAUUUUGCAGGCUUGUAUAUGAAAGAGGAAGCGUUCAAUCUUCCAAUGAAAUCCAUUUUUUGGUGGUGACCCAUAUCAGGAGUUCUCGCUUAAGGCAUUCAACAAAUUAAUUUUGAACUCAAACAUACAGACAACAUAACUUAAAAUGAUGUACUCUAUUUAUAGCCACAAUUUCCAAUAUCUGCUUCACCGUCUUUAUCGAUAGCAGGUUUAAUCUCUAUGAUAUUCCCAAAAAACCAUUUUACCAUCUCAAUUUGGGAAUAUCACAGAGAUUAAACCUGCUAUCG